This 253-nucleotide ribosomal RNA is filed under the name uncultured bacterium. RNAcentral's name for it is "partial 16S ribosomal RNA". It matches the Rfam family "Bacterial small subunit ribosomal RNA", at positions 524 to 776 of the family's 1533-position model. The record is from RNAcentral.
UACGUAGGGUGCGAGCGUUAAUCGGAAUUACUGGGCGUAAAGCGUGCGCAGGCGGUUCGUUGUGUCGGGUGUGAAAGCCCCGGGCUCAACCUGGGAAUGGCAUUCGAAACUGGCGGGCUGGAGUGUGGCAGAGGGGGGUGGAACUCCUGGUGUAGCAGUGAAAUGCGUAGAGAUCAGGAAGAACACCGAUGGCGAAGGCAGCCCCCUGGGCUAACACUGACGCUCAGGCACGAAAGCGUGGGGAGCAAACAGG